RNAcentral lists this ribosomal RNA (419 nucleotides) under Gemmatimonadota bacterium. RNAcentral's name for it is "Gemmatimonadetes bacterium partial 16S ribosomal RNA". It matches the Rfam family "Bacterial small subunit ribosomal RNA", at positions 355 to 776 of the family's 1533-position model. Lineage: Bacteria; Pseudomonadati; Gemmatimonadota. The record is from RNAcentral.
UGGGGGAUAUUGCACAAUGGGCGAAAGCCUGAUGCAGCGACGCCGCGUGGGGGAUGAAGGCCUUCGGGUUGUAAACUUCUUUUGCUCUGAACAAGGCGCACCGUGGGGUGUGUUGAGUGUAGGGGUUGAUUAGCGCCGGCUAACUACGUGCCAGCAGCCGCGGUAAUACGUAGGUGGCAAGCGUUGUCCGGAUUUAUUGGGCGUAAAGCGAGCGCAGGCGGUUUCUUAAGUCUGAUGUGAAAGCCCCCGGCUCAACCGGGGAGGGUCAUUGGAAACUGGGAGACUUGAGUGCAGAAGAGGAGAGUGGAAUUCCAUGUGUAGCGGUGAAAUGCGUAGAUAUAUGGAGGAACACCAGUGGCGAAGGCGGCUCUCUGGUCUGUAACUGACGCUGAGGCUCGAAAGCGUGGGGAGCAAACAGG